UAUCAUGAGCAUAUCCUGAAAAAAUUAGCAAAAUUGGUUAAUUAUUUAAUUAAUUACAAGCAAUUUAAAAAAAAAAGUUUAGGACGGUAUUUCUCGAAAUUCGCUUUUUUGCAAAUUUUCAAUUAGUCUUUUGGGGCUGAAAUUUGAAGAUAUGACUUGGGGGCUGCUUUAAUUUUAACAUUUAAACCCUUUUUAACAUUAAAUAUUCAUUCGUUUCUUAUUUUUUAAUCAUAAAACCAAAAUAUUAGCAAACAAAAAUAUCCCCCGAAAUACGAAAAAUCUAAUAUUCACCAUAGGUUUGUACAGUGUAGGCCAAAAAAUAGGUGCUCUACAAAAGUUCUUUAAAAAAACAUUUUUACAUUGAAGCCACAGAAUAUACCAUACUCAAAUUGAUCUUUGAUAAUCCAGGCCUACUUUCCUGCAAUUGGUUUUUUAUUAAUUGUUAUGCUUUUUCCUUAAAAAGUGAUACAAAAAUUAAUUUUUCCCAUCAAUUCCCGCCAUUGGUACUUUUCUCACGUAGAGGGAGCUUCACACAAUAACAAACGAAUCAAAGUAACAGUAGAAACUAAACAAACAAAAGUAGAUUCAUUCCAGCGGGCAGUCAGCUCUUAUUAUUCAUUUAAAUGAAAAUUCAUGCAAAGGACCUGGAAAAUCUGCAGAAAUAAACCCUAGGACUACUCUGACCAACGGAGGUUGGUGGUUUGGCAGUUGAAGGCUUAAGAAACUUGCUGACCAUCCUGGGUACAACCCCAACAGUCAAUGCCUCUAGCUACGACAGGCACAUAGCCACUUUUAAAUCGAUAUCUCAAGAGACCAGCGAGGAACACAUGAAGAGGGCGGCGGUAUGCCUACAACAAAGGGCAAUGGACAAGGACCCGACCAUCAGG
This is a long non-coding RNA of Strongylocentrotus purpuratus (purple sea urchin), 887 nucleotides long. RefSeq lists it as uncharacterized. Lineage: Eukaryota; Metazoa; Echinodermata; Echinoidea; Camarodonta; Strongylocentrotidae. The transcript is spliced from 3 exons. The record is from RefSeq and is a predicted model, not a curated record.